GACGAACGUUGGCGGCGUGCUUAACACAUGCAAGUCGAACGGAAAGGCCCUGCUUUUGUGGGGUGCUCGAGUGGCGAACGGGUGAGUAACACGUGAGUAACCUGCCCUUGACUUUGGGAUAACUUCAGGAAACUGGGGCUAAUACCGGAUAGGAGCUCCUGCUGCAUGGUGGGGGUUGGAAAGUUUCGGCGGUUGGGGAUGGACUCGCGGCUUAUCAGCUUGUUGGUGGGGUAGUGGCUUACCAAGGCUUUGACGGGUAGCCGGCCUGAGAGGGUGACCGGCCACAUUGGGACUGAGAUACGGCCCAGACUCCUACGGGAGGCAGCAGUGGGGAAUAUUGCACAAUGGGCGGAAGCCUGAUGCAGCAACGCCGCGUGCGGGAUGACGGCCUUCGGGUUGUAAACCGCUUUCGCCUGUGACGAAGCGUGAGUGACGGUAAUGGGUAAAGAAGCACCGGCUAACUACGUGCCAGCAGCCGCGGUGAUACGUAGGGUGCGAGCGUUGUCCGGAUUUAUUGGGCGUAAAGGGCUCGUAGGUGGUUGAUCGCGUCGGAAGUGUAAUCUUGGGGCUUAACCCCUGAGCGUGCUUUCGAUACGGGUUGACUUGAGGAAGGUAGGGGAGAAUGGAAUUCCUGGUGGAGCGGUGGAAUGCGCAGAUAUCAGGAGGAACACCAGUGGCGAAGGCGGUUCUCUGGGCCUUUCCUGACGCUGAGGAGCGAAAGCGUGGGGAGCGAACAGGCUUAGAUACCCUGGUAGUCCACGCUGUAAACGGUGGGUACUAGGUGUGGGGUCCAUUCCACGGGUUCCGUGCCGUAGCUAACGCUUUAAGUACCCCGCCUGGGGAGUACGGCCGCAAGGCUAAAACUCAAAGGAAUUGACGGGGCCCCGCACAAGCGGCGGAGCAUGCGGAUUAAUUCGAUGCAACGCGUAGAACCUUACCUGGGUUUGACAUGGAUCGGGAGUGCUCAGAGAUGGGUGUGCCUCUUUUGGGGUCGGUUCACAGGUGGUGCAUGCCUGUCGUCAGCUCGUGUCGUGAGAUGUUGGGUUAAGUCCCGCAACGAGCGCAACCCUUGUUCACUGUUGCCAGCACGUUAUGGUGGGGACUCAGUGGAGACCGCCGGGGUCAACUCGGAGGAAGGUGGGGAUGACGUCAAGUCCUCAUGCCCCUUAUGUCCAGGGCUUCACGCAUGCUACAAUGGCUGGUACAGAGAGUGGCGAGCCUGUGAGGGUGAGCGAAUCUCGGAAAGCCGGUCUCAGUUCGGAUUGGGGUCUGCAACUCGACCUCAUGAAGUCGGAGUCGCUAGUAAUCGCAGAUCAGCAACGCUGCGGUGAAUACGUUCCCGGG
Molecule: ribosomal RNA, 1344 nt
Filed under: uncultured bacterium
Lineage: Bacteria
Description: 16S ribosomal RNA
Rfam family: Bacterial small subunit ribosomal RNA
Source: RNAcentral